This 253-nucleotide ribosomal RNA is filed under the name uncultured bacterium. RNAcentral's name for it is "partial 16S ribosomal RNA". It matches the Rfam family "Bacterial small subunit ribosomal RNA", at positions 524 to 776 of the family's 1533-position model. The record is from RNAcentral.
UACGUAGGGUGCAAGCGUUGUCCGGAAUUAUUGGGCGUAAAGAGCUCGUAGGCGGUCUGUCGCGUCGGAUGUGAAAACCCAGGGCUCAACCCUGGGCCUGCAUUCGAUCCGGGCAGACUAGAGUUCGGUAGGGGAGACUGGAAUUCCUGGUGUAGCGGUGAAAUGCGCAGAUAUCAGGAGGAACACCGGUGGCGAAGGCGGGUCUCUGGGCCGAAACUGACGCUCAUGCACGAAAGCGUGGGGAGCAAACAGG